Molecule: ribosomal RNA, 452 nt
Filed under: uncultured bacterium
Lineage: Bacteria
Description: bacterial SSU rRNA
Rfam family: Bacterial small subunit ribosomal RNA
Source: RNAcentral
GAACGGUAGCACAGAGAGCUUGCUCUCGGGUGACGAGUGGCGGACGGGUGAGUAAUGUCUGGGAAACUGCCCGAUGGAGGGGGGUAACUACUGGAAACGGUAGCUAAUACCGCAUAACGUCUUCGGACCAAAGUGGGGGACCUUCGGGCCUCACACCAUCGGAUGUGCCCAGAUGGGAUUAGCUAGUAGGUGGGGUAAUGGCUCACCUAGGCGACGAUCCCUAGCUGGUCUGAGAGGAUGACCAGCCACACUGGAACUGAGACACGGUCCAGACUCCUACGGGAGGCAGCAGUGGGGAAUAUUGCACAAUGGGCGCAAGCCUGAUGCAGCCAUGCCGCGUGUAUGAAGAAGGCCUUCGGGUUGUAAAGUACUUUCAGCGGGGAGGAAGGCGGUGAAGUUAAUAACUUCACCGAUUGACGUUACCCGCAGAAGAAGCACCGGCUAACUCCGUG